RNAcentral lists this non-coding RNA (45 nucleotides) under Neisseria shayeganii. Its description in RNAcentral is "PreQ1-I sequence". It matches the Rfam family "PreQ1 (pre queuosine) riboswitch aptamer". Rfam says of the family: This family is a bacterial riboswitch that binds to the metabolite preQ1, an intermediate in the biosynthesis of the modified nucleoside queuosine from GTP. One example of this riboswitch is located in the leader of the Bacillus subtilis ykvJKLM (queCDEF) operon which encodes four genes necessary for queuosine production. PreQ1 binding to the riboswitch aptamer is thought to induce premature transcription termination within the leader to down-regulate expression of these genes. RNAcentral also lists the same sequence under 1 other name. The record is from RNAcentral. Lineage: Bacteria; Pseudomonadati; Pseudomonadota; Betaproteobacteria; Neisseriales; Neisseriaceae.
UCUACCGUGGUUCGCAAACCUCCCACGUAAAAAAACUAGGACACU